AACGGGCAUGCUUUACCAUGCAGUCGAACGGCAGCACGAGAGAGCUUGCUCUCUUGGUGGCGAGUGGCGGACGGGUGAGUAAUAUAUCGGAACGUGCCCAGUAGCGGGGGAUAACUACUCGAAAGAGUGGCUAAUACCGCAUACGCCCUACGGGGGAAAGGGGGGGAUCGCAAGACCUCUCACUAUUGGAGCGGCCGAUAUCGGAUUAGCUAGUUGGUGGGGUAAAGGCUCACCAAGGCAACGAUCCGUAGCUGGUUUGAGAGGACGACCAGCCACACUGGGACUGAGACACGGCCCAGACUCCUACGGGAGGCAGCAGUGGGGAAUUUUGGACAAUGGGGGAAACCCUGAUCCAGCCAUCCCGCGUGUAUGAUGAAGGCCUUCGGGUUGUAAAGUACUUUUGGCAGAGAAGAAAAGGCAUCCCCUAAUACGGGAUGCUGCUGACGGUAUCUGCAGAAUAAGCACCGGCUAACUACGUGCCAGCAGCCGCGGUAAUACGUAGGGUGCAAGCGUUAAUCGGAAUUACUGGGCGUAAAGCGUGUGUAGGCGGUUCGGAAAGAAAGAUGUGAAAUCCCAGGGCUCAACCUUGGAACUGCAUUUUUAACUGCCGAGCUAGAGUAUGUCAGAGGGGGGUAGAAUUCCACGUGUAGCAGUGAAAUGCGUAGAUAUGUGGAGGAAUACCGAUGGCGAAGGCAGCCCCCUGGGAUAAUACUGACGCUCAGACACGAAAGCGUGGGGAGCAAACAGGAUUAGAUACCCUGGUAGUCCACGCCCUAAACGAUGUCAACUAGCUGUUGGGGCCGUUAGGCCUUAGUAGCGCAGCUAACGCGUGAAGUUGACCGCCUGGGGAGUACGGUCGCAAGAUUAAAACUCAAAGGAAUUGACGGGGACCCGCACAAGCGGUGGAUGAUGUGGAUUAAUUCGAUGCAACGCGAAAAACCUUACCUACCCUUGACAUGUCUGGAAUGCCGAAGAGAUUUGGCAGUGCUCGCAAGAGAAC
Molecule: ribosomal RNA, 1000 nt
Filed under: Alcaligenes sp. TR9
Lineage: Bacteria; Pseudomonadati; Pseudomonadota; Betaproteobacteria; Burkholderiales; Alcaligenaceae
Description: bacterial SSU rRNA
Rfam family: Bacterial small subunit ribosomal RNA
Source: RNAcentral